This 269-nucleotide long non-coding RNA is filed under the name Chinchilla lanigera (long-tailed chinchilla). RNAcentral's name for it is "lncRNA (ENSCLAG00000024350.1)". Lineage: Eukaryota; Metazoa; Chordata; Mammalia; Rodentia; Chinchillidae. The record is from RNAcentral.
GUUUGCAAACUUGCAGAAUGACGAAGGUGUGAAGCUCUGUUGAGACUGUGGUUGGAUGAAGCUCCUGAAAGGAAUCCUGGUGGGGCCUGUGGCUCAGGUUGCAGCUGGAGGCACCGUGUAGUCGGGGGACAGAACCGGCACAGGUUCCUCCCUGUGUCCCCUUGUGCCCUGCUGGUAGCCUGCACCUGCUUAUGUUGGACCCCCAGGCUGGGGAUCUACUGUGAUAAAGCUGGAACUGCAACUUGCACUGUCCUUUGUGCGUCCAUGGC